This 1113-nucleotide long non-coding RNA is filed under the name Bemisia tabaci. Its description in RNAcentral is "lncRNA ENSSSA1UGG001950". The record is from RNAcentral. Lineage: Eukaryota; Metazoa; Arthropoda; Insecta; Hemiptera; Aleyrodidae.
AUGGCUCUGGGUAAACCAGUUGAUGAAGUUCAGAAAAAAAUAAGCGGUUUGAAGCAUUUUCUCAGAUGGGAAAAAGAGAUGGUCAAGAAGCUGAGCCAAAUUGAAACAGCAGGCCUUAAUACCGAAUCAACCUCAUCGGCGUUCAGAAGACUGAAUUUUCUAACGGAUGGAAAUAAGUCACAAGAAAGAGUUAAUUCAAAAAUGGCAGAUAUGGCAUCUAUAGAUAGAUUAGCUGACAGUGUCGAUGACGAAGCUCGAUCCGAAAAGAGCCACAAUUCUGAUACCUCAGCUCUUGCGAAUGUAACACCCAAUAAUGUUCGAACCUCAUCAGCAUCAACACAACAUUUCUCGAAGCAAGGAAGCGGCUUUUUGAGGAGCACAGUAAAAAAUUCAGCGAAGACCUGCUUAACUACGUGUGCAUGUUCUGGAGUAGCAAAUAAUACCUCUGCAGUCCCGGCGAAAGAUGAAUGCGACUAUUUUGGUUUAUACGUUGCGGGGAAAUUGAGGAAUUUCGAUCGACACGCGAGAGCCGAGGCGGAGAGUGAAAUCACAAAAGUUCUCUUACGUGCGGAAAUGGACCUUGGCGAAUCACUAGUUUCUUCAGAAAUUUCCUGGACGGGCUCUGAACCCUUCAGCAGCCGCCUUCCUAGCAGCACACCUCACAAAAAACACCGGCCGCGGUCGUUUAAUCCUAGAAGUUUGGCUUUUAAUGAAACCUGUCAGCCUCAUUCUCGUUCGGAAUUUUUACCGAUGUCUGACGUCAUGAGGGAAACUACCUCUUGGACAUUAAACGCGUCUUCAUAAUCAUUAACGUUGGUGAAUUAAAAAUAAUUAAGAAUUCUCAAUUUUAUACAAGAAAAAAACGUGUAGUAGAAAAUUUGGGUUUAGAAUCACAAAAAAAAGACGCGCACACACACUCACCCUUACCAACGCACUCUAAAGAACACAUCUUAAGAAUUUGAUACAUUACCACGUUAAUUGUUACAUUUAAAAUUUUUGUCUUUUUUCUUGUGUCCAUUUUUAAGUACCUACAUAUUUUUACUAAUGCAUCGUAAUGUUUUUGCAUUGUCUUUUUUAUAAUUUCAUGAGUAAACAGCUCAAAAUAAAUCCAGU